This is a long non-coding RNA of Equus caballus (horse), 2315 nucleotides long. The record is from Ensembl. Lineage: Eukaryota; Metazoa; Chordata; Mammalia; Perissodactyla; Equidae.
UGUCACUUCACCCUGUCCUUCCCACUGUUAUGGCCCCUUACACACUGAUUGUCACUGUUUUAGGGUCUGCUUUCUCCAUUAGGCUAUAUGUUCUUCACAGGCAGGAAACGUGCUCGGUUCGUCCCCGCAUUCCUAGCAUCUGGCACUGGACCUCACAUAGAACACACACUCAAUAAAUGCUGAAUGCUUUAGUUUGUUCUGUGAGCACAUCCCACUCACUGAGCAGACCCUGGCUCAGUUUUCUCGUCUAACCUCAUUAGGGAUUAAUGUAAGACUCUGAGCAGUCUGAUGCAGGGUGAGAAGGUUCAGGUUAGAUUGUCCUCAUCAACCCCAAUUAGUGCUUGAUUGAGAAGGUCACAGUCCAGGCUUAUGUAGUGAGAAUCCAUUAUUUAAUUGAUUAAAACAGGUUUUCAGUUGGCAGCUUGACAAGUGCAUACUGCACAGCCUCACCCACUCCACCUACAGGGCUAGUAUGUGACAGAUUUAGGUGGAAAAUGCUUGGAAUGCCUUGAAGAUCCUGCUCCAGCCAGCCAGCUGGGUGCUACUGGGACAGGGAGGUCCCUGGUGACAAAUGUGACCUGAUUACUGGAGCUCUUUCUUCCUAGGAUGGGCCUUGGGAGCAUGGCUAAUUGCUAAACCAGGGACUGAGAGAAGAUGAGAAGCACGUCUCCUGAAUCCUGCCCUGUUGUACCAUUGACCCCAUUUGGGAACCUGGACCUUGUCUUUUCAUACUAAUCGUCAGCUGAACUAUCAGGACGGUUUUAUAAAUCCCUAAUUCCUCUAAGGGAAUUUUGUGAUGAUGCCCUUCCAAGGAAAGGAAACAGCAAUAAAUUGAAUGCAACUGAUGUCUCUUCAAAGAUUUGCUGUCUACCAAGACUUUCAAGCAUCGAAAAUAUCUUUAUCUUUUCCUCUCAGCAUUGAUGGGGAGGCCAUUUAGGAGAGAGUGAAAUAACCUGCAAAGAGAAAGAAAUGACACCUAUAAAAAUAAUAUAGGAAGCAAUAAAACAACACUGCAAACAGUUUGGCAGGUGGAGAGGAAAGAAUCACCUUCAUAAAUCCAUCAUUCUAGAGUGAGCCUUGUGUUUGUGUGGCUGUGCUUAUGCACGGGAAUGGACACAGCUGCAAUCACCCUCCACAUACCCACACUCUGUAACCUACUUUCUCCACCUAACAUGAUGUCAUGAGCAUUUUUCUAUGUUGCUACAUAGUCUUUAUAAUUACUUAAAGUGACUGUAAAAUAUUCCAUUCACUGCUAUUGUUGAUAUUUAGAUUGCUUGUAUGAUUUUUCCUUUGUUCAUUUUUAUGAAUUGACGAAUAGUAGGUAUUUCACUCAGUGCCUUGAAAAACAUAUAUAUCUAGUAGGUGCUUUAUUUCAUUCCCAUCUCUCUCCUUCAUAUAUAUCUUUGUAUCUGGGCUUUUCCUUAGGAUAAAUUUCUUAGGAUAAAUAUUGAGUUCAAGCGUUUAAACAAUUGUAUGACUUUUUACAUGGUAUUUCACACACGUUGCUUUAUUAUGAUGAUAAUAACAAUGAUGAUAAUAUGAAUAACUCCACAAUUACACAUAGUAUUUCACAAAAUCCUCCCAACAUCUCUGAGGGUAGUCAUUACCCCAUUUUAGAUGAGAAGCAGAUGUCCACAAGUUUAAGUAAUUUGUCCAGCGGCUAUGUCUGUUCUGUUUUCGUCUUUCUCCCCAGGGUUAAGUACAAUGUCUGGCUCAUAGAAUGACUGCAGUAAAUGUUUCCUGAAUGAAGUCCACAAGUCGGGGUGUCAUGAUUCAAACCCAGAUCUGUUUCAGUUCAAAGCCUGUGCUCUUCCCCUUAAACCUUGCCAACUGGCUUUUGACGUUCAUUUGGGUGGGGGUAGAAAUGCAGGCGUUGCCAUACUGUUUAAUUAAGGACUCAGGCCUAGUGAAGCACUUCAGGUUUAGGGCAAACAUGCAAGAGCUAAUGAUGUGCGGUGGGUGGGAGUUUGGGACCCUAAUUAUCGUUACCCUAGAACUGUACCUGCUUGCCAUUUUCCUGAGAUCGCCCAUCCAGACCUAUUAUAUAAUUCUAAGAACAAUGCCAUUGGAGAGUGGUCCUAAGUGCUUGGUGGCCACAUUGAAUUCAGAGGGUUUGCUGUUGUCUUCUGGCUGUGUGACCUGAUUGUGCAUUUACAGAAAUGCUGUCCUCAUUGGAAUCAGUCUCUAAAACCCAACUGCAUGAGCUGAGGAGGUAGAGUAGCCCCCUGGACUAAACUUCCUUUGGCUCUAUCCUUCCUAUUUUCAGAGGAUGCUGAAAAGUGACCCAUCAUCCCAAAGAGCACCAGCCCCAAGAG